AGACUGAUAUAAUUAUUUCUUGCCUCAAACCUAUCUCUCUUCGUCUACCUUUCAAACCUUAGACAAAACCCCACGGUGGUCCUGAUGGCGGCUCUGAUGAACCUCCCACCUGUUCAUCAAAGCGAAAACCUAUCCUCAACCCCAAAUCCGAACUAGCCCAAAAUCUCCCAAACAAAAACAAAUCCCAAACCCCAAUCAAAGAAAAUCUCAACCGAUGAACCAAGAACGAUUGAUAUAAAUAAGCUUUAGGCAAGUGAUUUCAACAUUAGAUCCAUCAUCAUCUCCAUAAACACGACAUGUUUUCUCACAGACCAAAUCAAAUGUAACAAAACAAACUUCGACAAUCAUCAAGCAUACAUGCAAUCAAUGAACAGAUGGAGCCUUAACACUUUUUAAGCUUAAAAUAAAAGGUAUAAGAUCUCGCUGGAAUUCUGCAACUCCGACAAGAUUAUGGCGGACAACAUUUUUUUACCUCAACUGCACAAGAUGGUAAGCGGAUCAUGGAGGCCCAUGAUAAAUACAUGAGGAAAAUCCCAGCCUUGUAAGGAUAUGCCCUGCCAGUAUGUAUCAACUCUGUUUUCCUUUAAGGUAGCAUGGAUACCAGGUUGUACUGUAGGUUGAUAGAUGCAUACUAUAAUUCGGUUUGUGAACAUAUGUUGGAAAUGCUUUGUUUCUUAGUUCACGUCUUCAUGGUGUGGGAUUGUAAGUUAUGGAUAAUAUGAGUUUGCUUAUGACGGUGCAUUUGGCAGCAUGUUUCUCACGGCUUUUCCUAUGCCUUUGUUCCGAAAUGUUACAGUCUUGGUUGUCUUGCUGAUAUGAUGCAGUAGUGGUUUGUGCAGUUUCUAGAUCGAGUAUUUGGUCAAGGUUGGCUGGUUUGGUAACGGGUUUCUUUUUGUCAUGGUUCAGCAUCUGUCAUGGUUUUGUAACA
Long non-coding RNA from Lathyrus oleraceus (garden pea), 928 nucleotides. RefSeq lists it as uncharacterized. The transcript has 4 exons. The record is from RefSeq and is a predicted model, not a curated record. NCBI's taxonomy places the organism in Eukaryota, Viridiplantae, Streptophyta, Magnoliopsida, Fabales, Fabaceae.